GGGCUUAUAGCUCAGUAGUAGAGCGCUCGCCUUGCACGCGAGAGGCCGGGGGUGCGAAUCCCCCUAAGUCCA
Molecule: transfer RNA, 72 nt
Filed under: Microcaldota archaeon
Lineage: Archaea; Nanobdellati; Microcaldota
Also listed under: 2 other names
Description: tRNA-Ala
Rfam family: tRNA
About the family: Transfer RNA (tRNA) molecules are approximately 80 nucleotides in length. Their secondary structure includes four short double-helical elements and three loops (D, anti-codon, and T loops).
Source: RNAcentral